AGUGGCAGACGGGUGAGUAACGCGUGGGAACCUUCCCUGUGGUACGGAAUAACUUCCGGAAACGGAAGCUAAUACCGUAUAUCCCCUCCGGGGGAAAGAUUUAUCGCCAUGGAUGGGCCCGCGUUGAUUACCUAGUGGGUGGGUUAAUGGCCUCCCAAAGGAAACGAUCCAUAGCUGGUCUGAGAGGAUGAUCAGCCACACUGGGACUGAGACACGGCCCAGACUCCUACGGGAGGCAGCAGUGGGGAAUAUUGGACAAUGGGCGCAAGCCUGAUCCAGCCAUGCCGCGUGAGUGAAGAAGGCCUUAGGGUUGUAAAGCUCUUUUGGCGGGGACGAUAAUGACGGUACCCGCAGAAUAAGCCCCGGCUAACUUCGUGCCAGCAGCCGCGGUAAUACGAAGGGGGCUAGCGUUGUUCGGAAUCACUGGGCGUAAAGCGCACGCAGGCGGAUUGAUAAGUCAGGGGUGAAAUCCCGGGGCUCAACCUCGGAAUUGCCUUUGA
Molecule: ribosomal RNA, 500 nt
Filed under: uncultured bacterium
Lineage: Bacteria
Description: bacterial SSU rRNA
Rfam family: Bacterial small subunit ribosomal RNA
Source: RNAcentral